RNAcentral lists this ribosomal RNA (253 nucleotides) under uncultured bacterium. Its description in RNAcentral is "partial 16S ribosomal RNA". It matches the Rfam family "Bacterial small subunit ribosomal RNA", at positions 524 to 776 of the family's 1533-position model. The record is from RNAcentral.
UACGUAGGGCGCAAGCGUUAUCCGGAAUUAUUGGGCGUAAAGAGCUCGUAGGCGGUUUGUCGCGUCUGCCGUGAAAGUCCGGGGCUCAACUCCGGAUCUGCGGUGGGUACGGGCAGACUAGAGUGUGGUAGGGGAGACUGGAAUUCCUGGUGUAGCGGUGAAAUGCGCAGAUAUCAGGAGGAACACCGAUGGCGAAGGCAGGUCUCUGGGCCACUACUGACGCUGAGGAGCGAAAGCGUGGGGAGCGAACAGG